GCGCCUGACGGCGAUUUGGCGAGCCGCUCUGCGGCCGUGGCGUUCCUAAACUCUAAAUCCGGGUUCGAUUCCCGUCAGGCGCG
This 83-nucleotide transfer RNA is filed under the name Verrucomicrobiales bacterium. RNAcentral's name for it is "tRNA-Ser". The record is from RNAcentral. Lineage: Bacteria; Pseudomonadati; Verrucomicrobiota; Verrucomicrobiia; Verrucomicrobiales.